ACCUAUUGACAUAUGGUUAUCGUAUAAUUCAUCCCUUUGAUUCAAAUGCUCAAAGUGACCUAGAGUUUAACUGCCAACCCUGAUAUGGUCAUCGAUAUUAUAUUUUAAUUUUUAAAAUUCAUCACAUAGAUUAUCUUGAUCAAGAUUUUAUUGAAUUGAAAUACACUGAUACAUUAACUUCUACUUAUUUAGAGGGGUCAAUUCCAUCUGGACUCACACACCGACUUCACAAGUACUUGACUAUGCUCAAAAAUCUUUCAUCACUGAAUUAAAAAUUCAGGUAGUCUGACACCAAAGUAUUGUGAGUUGCUUGUAAGUCACUGUGGUGAUCUCA
RNAcentral lists this long non-coding RNA (334 nucleotides) under Elaeis guineensis (African oil palm). RNAcentral describes it as "long non-coding RNA (EGUI_LNC053853)". The record is from RNAcentral. Lineage: Eukaryota; Viridiplantae; Streptophyta; Magnoliopsida; Arecales; Arecaceae.